AGUGCCCAGCCUUUCCUCUGCUGACCGCUCGGUGCUGAGCAGACCUGCUCUGCGAGCAGACGCACCUGGCAGGCUGCAGACCACAGGCUUUUGGGCAGUGGUCCGGCCUCUCUUUUCCUGGGCUGUAAAAUGGGAUUAUUUGUGAAGAGGAGUGAGCUGAGGUGUCGGGCAGGACCGGCCCUGACCAUCUCACCCCAACUCUGCGCCUGCUUCUCUGCUGACCCAUAGGCUGUGGGGAUGCUCCAGGCAGACCCUAUCCCACCCUGCAGAAAAGGCUUGUAGGGGACCGAGGGGCACUGUGAAGGCAGGGCCUGAGCCUGCACCCAAUUUACAGAGGGGGAAGUUCAGGCCCUAAUCUUCAGUGAGUCAGCCAGACUCAGUGGCUGAGAGCAAGUCUCUCCGGUCAUUUGUGUCACUAUCACAUUCCCAGGUGUCCUCCGCCUGGACUUCCCCAAAGUGUCCCCAGGCAGCACCUCUGAAGGCUUUGAGACUGUCAGGCUUGCAGUCAUCACAUCCCCAGUCCUUGCUCUGCUGCAUUCUGUGGCCAGAGCCCCAUCAACCAUGACCCUCCUCUGGGUCUAGAACUCCAACCGGUGUGGAGACCCGCCACCUGCAAUCCCAGCUCCUCAUCCAAGGUGUGUUUGGAACUCAGGCUUUUUUGUAUACUCAUACAUUAUGUGGCACCUCUUUGGGGCCUGGGACUGUU
Macaca mulatta (Rhesus monkey) is the source of this 706-nucleotide non-coding RNA. NCBI's taxonomy places the organism in Eukaryota, Metazoa, Chordata, Mammalia, Primates, Cercopithecidae. The record is from RefSeq and is a predicted model, not a curated record.